Molecule: ribosomal RNA, 253 nt
Filed under: uncultured bacterium
Lineage: Bacteria
Description: partial 16S ribosomal RNA
Rfam family: Bacterial small subunit ribosomal RNA
Source: RNAcentral
UACGUAGGGGGCAAGCGUUGUCCGGAUUUAUUGGGCGUAAAGAGCGUGUAGGCGGCCAUGUAGGUCCGUUGUGAAAACUCGAGGCUCAACCUCGAGACGCCGAUGGAAACCAUGUGGCUAGAGUCCGGAAGAGGAGAGUGGAAUUCCUGGUGUAGCGGUGAAAUGCGCAGAUAUCAGGAAGAACACCCGUGGCUAAGGCCGCUCUCUAGUACGGUACUGACGCUGAGACGCGAAAGCGUGGGGAGCGAACAGG